CAUGCAAGUCGAGCGGCAGCGGGAAAGUAGCUUGCUACUUUUGCCGGCGAGCGGCGGACGGGUGAGUAAUGCCUGGGAAAUUGCCCAGUCGAGGGGGAUAACAUUUGGAAACGACUGCUAAUACCCCAUACCCCCUACGGGGGAAAGCAGGGGACCUUCGGGCCUUGCGCGAUUGGAUAUGCCCAGGUGGGAUUAGCUAGUUGGUGAGGUAAUGGCUCACCAAGGCGACGAUCCCUAGCUGGUCUGAGAGGAUGAUCAGCCACACUGGAACUGAGACACGGUCCAGACUCCUACGGGAGGCAGCAGUGGGGAAUAUUGCACAAUGGGGGAAACCCUGGUGCAGCCAUGCCGCGUGUGUGAAGAAGGCCUUCGGGUUGUAAAGCACUUUCAGCCAGGAGGAAAGGUUGGCGCCUAAUACGUGUCAACUGUGACGUUACU
RNAcentral lists this ribosomal RNA (438 nucleotides) under Aeromonas sp. AER29-VDL-08/DNR. Its description in RNAcentral is "bacterial SSU rRNA". It matches the Rfam family "Bacterial small subunit ribosomal RNA", at positions 54 to 479 of the family's 1533-position model. The record is from RNAcentral. RNAcentral also lists the same sequence under 1 other name. Lineage: Bacteria; Pseudomonadati; Pseudomonadota; Gammaproteobacteria; Aeromonadales; Aeromonadaceae.